RNAcentral lists this ribosomal RNA (301 nucleotides) under uncultured bacterium. RNAcentral's name for it is "partial 16S ribosomal RNA". It matches the Rfam family "Bacterial small subunit ribosomal RNA", at positions 509 to 807 of the family's 1533-position model. The record is from RNAcentral.
CAGCAGCCGCGGUAAUACAGAGGGUGCGAGCGUUAAUCGGAUUUACUUGGCGUAAAGCGUGCGUAGGCGGCUUCUUAAGUCGGAUGUGAAAUCCCUGAGCUUAACUUAGGAAUUGCAUUCGAUACUGGGAAGCUAGAGUAUGGGAGAGGAUGGUAGAAUUCCAGGUGUAGCGGUGAAAUGCGUAGAGAUCUGGAGGAAUACCGAUGGCGAAGGCAGCCAUCUGGCCUAAUACUGACGCUGAGGUACGAAAGCAUGGGGAGCAAACAGGAUUAGAUACCCGUGUAGUCCCUGUCUCUUAUAC